CCUACGGGUGGCAGCAGUGAGGAAUAUUGGUCAAUGGGCGAGAGCCUGAACCAGCCAAGUCGCGUGAAGGAUGACUGUCUUAUGGAUUGUAAACUUCUUUUAUACGGGAAUAACAAGAGUCACGUGUGGCUCCCUGCAUGUACCGUAUGAAUAAGCAUCGGCUAACUCCGUGCCAGCAGCCGCGGUAAUACGGAGGAUGCGAGCGUUAUCCGGAUUUAUUGGGUUUAAAGGGUGCGUAGGCGGCCUGUUAAGUCAGCGGUGAAAUCUAGGAGCUUAACUCCUAAAUUGCCAUUGAUACUGGCGGGCUUGAGUGUAGAUGAGGUAGGCGGAAUGCGUGGUGUAGCGGUGGAAUGCAUAGAUAUCACGCAGAACUCCGAUUGCGAAGGCAGCUUACUAAGGUACAACUGACGCUGAAGCACGAAAGCGUGGGUAUCAAACAGGAUUAGAUACCCCAGUAGUC
RNAcentral lists this ribosomal RNA (460 nucleotides) under uncultured Porphyromonas sp. Its description in RNAcentral is "bacterial SSU rRNA". It matches the Rfam family "Bacterial small subunit ribosomal RNA", at positions 338 to 795 of the family's 1533-position model. Lineage: Bacteria; Pseudomonadati; Bacteroidota; Bacteroidia; Bacteroidales; Porphyromonadaceae. The record is from RNAcentral.